This is a long non-coding RNA of Clupea harengus (Atlantic herring), 484 nucleotides long. Lineage: Eukaryota; Metazoa; Chordata; Actinopteri; Clupeiformes; Clupeidae. The record is from Ensembl.
GGAGUGUGUCCUGUUGUGCGUUGGUGUGUGUGUGUGUGUGAUGGGUUUUUAAGGAUCAGGAGUGUGUCCUGUUGUGCGUUGGUGCGUGUGUGUGUGUGUGUGAUGGGUUUUUAAGGAUCAGGAGUGUGUCCUGUUGUGCGUUGGUGUGUGUGUGUGUGUGAUGGGUUUUUAAGGAUCAGGAGUGUGUCCUGUUGUGUGUUGGCGUGUGUGUGUGUGUGAUGGGUUUUUAAGGAUCAGGAGUGUGUCCUGUUGUGUGUUGGUGUGUGUGUGUGUGUGUGUGUGUGUAUGAUGGGUUUUUAGGGAUCAGGAGUGUGUCCUGUUGUGUGUGUGUGUGUGUGUGUGUGUGAUGGGUUUUUAAGGAUCAGGAGUGUUUCCUGUUGUGCGUUGGUGUGUGUGUGUGUGUGUGAUGGGUUUUUAAGGAUCAGGAGUGUGUCCUGUUGUGUGUGUGUGUGUGUGUGUGUGUGUGUGUGUGAUGGGUUUUUAA